GACGAACGCUGGCGGCGUGCUUAAUACAUGCAAGUCGAGCGAGGUUACUGUUUCGGAUCCCUUCGGGGUGAAGAAGCUUUAACCUAGCGGCGGACGGGUGAGUAACGCGUGGGUAAUCUACCCCAAAGUCCGGGAUAACAGCGGGAAACCGCUGCUAAUACCGGAUGUCUUUACCUUGGGGCAUCUUGAGGUAAAGAAAGGUAACGCUUUGGGAUGGGCCCGCGUCCCAUUAGCUAGUUGGUGAGGUAACGGCUCACCAAGGCGACGAUGGGUAGCCGGCCUGAGAGGGUGGACGGCCACACUGGGACUGAGACACGGCCCAGACUCCUACGGGAGGCAGCAGUAGGGAAUAUUGCGCAAUAGACGGAAGUCUGACGCAGCGACGCCGCGUGAGCGAUGAAGGUCUUCGGAUCGUAAAGCUCUGUCCUUGGGGAAGAAGGCGAAAGCUUGACGGUACCCAAGAAGAAAGCCCCGGCUAACUACGUGCCAGCAGCCGCGGUAAUACGUAGGGGGCGAGCGUUGUCCGGAAUUACUGGGCGUAAAGGGUGCGUAGGCGGCCCUUUAAGUCGGAUGUGAAAGCCCGCGGCUUAACCGCGGAAUGGCAUUCGAAACUGGAGGGCUUGAGUGUCGGAGAGGGUAGUGGAAUUCCCAGUGUAGCGGUGAAAUGCGUAGAUAUUGGGAGGAACACCAGUGGCGAAGGCGACUACCUGGACGAUAACUGACGCUGAGGCACGAAAGCUAGGGGAGCAAACAGG
Molecule: ribosomal RNA, 755 nt
Filed under: uncultured bacterium
Lineage: Bacteria
Description: bacterial SSU rRNA
Rfam family: Bacterial small subunit ribosomal RNA
Source: RNAcentral